RNAcentral lists this ribosomal RNA (253 nucleotides) under uncultured bacterium. Its description in RNAcentral is "partial 16S ribosomal RNA". It matches the Rfam family "Bacterial small subunit ribosomal RNA", at positions 524 to 776 of the family's 1533-position model. The record is from RNAcentral.
UACGAAGGGGGCUAGCGUUGUUCGGAUUUACUGGGCGUAAAGCGCACGUAGGCGGACUAAUAAGUCAGAGGUGAAAUCCCAGGGCUCAACCCUGGAACUGCCUUUGAUACUGUUAGUCUUGAGUAUGGAAGAGGUGAGUAGAAUUCCGAGUGUAGAGGUGAAAUUCGUAGAUAUUCGGAGGAACACCAGUGGCGAAGGCGGCUCACUGGUCCAUUACUGACGCUGAGGUGCGAAAGCGUGGGGAGCAAACAGG